Molecule: long non-coding RNA, 939 nt
Organism: Vigna angularis (adzuki bean)
Lineage: Eukaryota; Viridiplantae; Streptophyta; Magnoliopsida; Fabales; Fabaceae
Exons: 5
Source: RefSeq, a predicted model, not a curated record
GGCUUGGUUAGAGAGAAUCGAAGCUUAGAGAGAGAGAGAGCGUGAAACCUAGAAAGAGUCAUCUUUUCCCUCCACCCAACCACCCACUGUCGGAGGGCCGUCGUAGUGCCGUCGGAGUGUCGUCGUUCCUAGAAAGAGUGUCGCUUCCUCCCACCCAACCAUUUUCGUUGUCUGCCGGAGUGCCGCCUGAGGAAGUAUUGUUUGUUCUGGUGACCGGCGUUGUUCAAAGCUUUGAUUGCAACGGCCACCGAAAAGGACGCGUUUUUGUCGUUCCGCAGUCGUAUCAGCGUUUGUGCGUCUUCCUCCCACCCAACCAUUUUCGUGUCUCUUCCCAGAAGCGUCGCUUUCCGUUGUCAAAAUUUGCAGUCCGCCGGAGUGUUGCUGGUAGCCGAGAGGAAAAAAGAGAGGUACAAGCAGGUUCGUAAAAGACCAAUGAAUAAGAAAGAAUUAGCAAAAAAUGAGGAAGACAUUAUAGAAACAUAUUCCAAUUCUAUAACCGUGCACGAGACUAAACUAAAGACUUCCACAAUACAAGUAGUAGAAAUGAAGUUUCUUGCUCAGCGAAGGGAUCUUCAGAUACCGGAUAUUGAAAAGUGCUUAGAUGUUGGGAGAAAGCCUAAAAUUAAGAUAACGUCAAGAGUUUGGGGAUAAAGCGUUUUGUGGAAGUGAAGAUCCUUGUUAAAUUACGCCGGUUCAACAUUAUCACCAAACCUCGAGGUUUAAACGUCAGGAUGAAUGAAGCAAAGCACAAUGUAUGAUCGAAUGAAGGUUGUACCUCGAAGAUGGUUCAAGAUCAAGAGUCGAGCGAAUAGAACUUCAUUUACUGUAGAUGAUAGAAGAAAAGAAUGAAUAGUUGAAUAAUUUGUAGUGAUUUUUAAAUGUUAAGAACUUUAGUUGACGAUGUUCAAGUAGAAUAGGAAAUGUAAAUGUUUGUUAAUA